GGGUGAUUAGCUCAGUUGGUAGAGCAGCUGACUCUUAAUCAGCGGGUCGUAGGUUCGAAUCCUACAUCACCCACCA
Molecule: transfer RNA, 76 nt
Filed under: Hyphomicrobium sp.
Lineage: Bacteria; Pseudomonadati; Pseudomonadota; Alphaproteobacteria; Hyphomicrobiales; Hyphomicrobiaceae
Also listed under: 7 other names
Description: tRNA-Lys
Rfam family: tRNA
About the family: Transfer RNA (tRNA) molecules are approximately 80 nucleotides in length. Their secondary structure includes four short double-helical elements and three loops (D, anti-codon, and T loops).
Source: RNAcentral